CACGGCGCACGGGUGCGUAACACGUGGGUAACCUGCCCUUUGAUGGGGAAUAACCCCGCGAAAGCGGGGCUAAUUCCGCAUAAGAUCCGCAAGGAUGAAAGCCGUAAGGCGUCGAAGGAGGGGCCUGCGCACGAUUAGCUAGUUGGUAGGGUAACGGCCUACCAAGGCUUUGAUCGUUAGCUGGUCUGAGAGGAUGGCCAGCCACACUGGAACUGAGACACGGUCCAAACUCCUACGGGAGGCAGCAGUGGGGAAUCUUGCACAAUGGGCGAAAGCCUGAUGCAGCGACGCCGCGUGGGGGAUGAAGCUUCUCGGAGUGUAAACCCCUUUCGACCCGGACGAAUACCUCGCAAGAGGGGUGACGGUACGGGUAUAAGAAGCCCCGGCUAACUACGUGCCAGCAGCCGCGGUAAGACGUGGGGGGCCAGCGUUGCUCGGAAUUACUGGGUGUAAAGGGUCAGUAGGCGGUGUGGCAAGUCGGGAGUGAAAUCUCUGGGCUUAACUCAGAGACUGCUUCCGAAACUGCUGUGCUUGAGUAUGGGAGAGGCGCGUGGAAUUGCAGGUGUAGCGGUGAGAUGCGUAGAUAUCUGCAGGAACACCCGUGGCGAAAGCGGCGCGCUGGACCAUAACUGACGCUGAAUGACGAAAGCUAGGGGAGCAAACAGGAUUAGAUACCCUGGUAGUCCUAGCCCUAAACGAUCAGGACUUGGGGUGCCACCCGUUCGGGUGUCGUCCCGGAGCUAACGCGUUAAGUCCUGCACCUGGGGAGUACGGUCGCAAGACUGAAACUCAAAGGAAUUGACGGGGGCCCGCACAAGCGGUGGAACAUGUGGUUCAAUUCGA
This 843-nucleotide ribosomal RNA is filed under the name uncultured bacterium. RNAcentral's name for it is "bacterial SSU rRNA". It matches the Rfam family "Bacterial small subunit ribosomal RNA", at positions 94 to 954 of the family's 1533-position model. The record is from RNAcentral.